Molecule: ribosomal RNA, 447 nt
Filed under: Aeromonas salmonicida subsp. salmonicida
Lineage: Bacteria; Pseudomonadati; Pseudomonadota; Gammaproteobacteria; Aeromonadales; Aeromonadaceae
Description: bacterial SSU rRNA
Rfam family: Bacterial small subunit ribosomal RNA
Source: RNAcentral
GAGCGCAACCCCUGUCCUUUGUUGCCAGCACGUAAUGGUGGGAACUCAAGGGAGACUGCCGGUGAUAAACCGGAGGAAGGUGGGGAUGACGUCAAGUCAUCAUGGCCCCUUACGGCCAGGGCUACACACGUGCUACAAUGGCGCGUACAGAGGGCUGCAAGCUAGCGAUAGUGAGCGAAUCCCAAAAAGCGCGUCGUAGUCCGGAUCGGAGUCUGCAACUCGACUCCGUGAAGUCGGAAUCGCUAGUAAUCGCGAAUCAGAAUGUCGCGGUGAAUACGUUCCCGGGCCUUGUACACACCGCCCGUCACACCAUGGGAGUGGGUUGCACCAGAAGUAGAUAGCUUAACCUUCGGGAGGGCGUUUACCACGGUGUGAUUCAUGACUGGGGUGAAGUCGUAACAAGGUAACCCUAGGGGAACCUGGGGUUGGAUCACCUCCUUACCUUAA